CCUACGGGAGGCAGCAGUAGGGAAUAUUGCUCAAUGGGGGAAACCCUGAAGCAGCAACGCCGCGUGGAGGAUGACGGUUUUCGGAUUGUUAACUUCUUUUUUUAGAGAAGUUAAUGACGGUAUCUAACGAAUAAGCACCGUCUAACUCCGUGCCAGCAGCCGCGGUAAUACGGAGGGUGCAAGCGUUACUCGGAAUCACUGGGCGUAAAGAGCGCGUAGGCGGGAUAGCAAGUCAGAUGUGAAAUUCUAUGGCUUAACCAUAGAACUGCAUUUGAAACUGUUAUUCUAGAGUAUGGGAGAGGUAGGUGGAAUUCUUGGUGUAGGGGUAAAAUCCGUAGAGAUCAAGAGGAAUACUCAUUGCGAAGGCGACCUGCUAGAACAUAACUGACACUGAUGCGCGAAAGCGUGGGGAGCAAACAGGAUUAGAUACCCUAGUAGUC
Molecule: ribosomal RNA, 440 nt
Filed under: uncultured bacterium
Lineage: Bacteria
Description: partial 16S ribosomal RNA
Rfam family: Bacterial small subunit ribosomal RNA
Source: RNAcentral